AUGUUUGGUCUUACCAUGAGUUCCUUGCAAGCACUUCACGAGCAUUCUUUCAAAUGCCAUUGUGAAGUGUUUGGGGGAACUCUUGGUGAUGCCAAGCUUUAUUCAAUGCCAGUCAAGAACCAAAGGAGACGAUCAUCACAAAGCAUGUUUGGUCUUACCGUGGGUUCCUUUCAAGCACUUCACGAGCAUUCCUUCAAAUGCCAUUGUGAAGUGUUUGGGGGAACUCUUGGUGAUGCCAAGCUUUAUUCAAUGCCAGUCAAGAACCAAAGGAUACGAUCAUCACAAAGCAUCUUUGGUCUUACCGUGGGUUCCUUGCAAGCACUUCACGAGCAUUCCUUCAAAUGCCAUUGUGAAGUGUUUGGGGGAACUCUCAGUGUAAUCAAGCAUUUACCAGAUACUGGUCGUGAACCAGAAGAGUUGAGCUAA
RNAcentral lists this ribosomal RNA (426 nucleotides) under Triticum aestivum (bread wheat). RNAcentral's name for it is "partial small subunit ribosomal RNA". The stretch from base 8 to 92 matches the Rfam family "mir-395 microRNA precursor family". The record is from RNAcentral. Lineage: Eukaryota; Viridiplantae; Streptophyta; Magnoliopsida; Poales; Poaceae.